Molecule: ribosomal RNA, 253 nt
Filed under: uncultured bacterium
Lineage: Bacteria
Description: partial 16S ribosomal RNA
Rfam family: Bacterial small subunit ribosomal RNA
Source: RNAcentral
UACGGAGGGUGCAAGCGUUAUCCGGAUUCACUGGGUUUAAAGGGUGCGUAGGUGGGCUUGUAAGUCAGCGGUGAAAUCUCCGGGCUUAACCCGGAAACUGCCAUUGAUACUAUAAGUCUUGAAUUAUCUGGAGGUAAGCGGAAUAUGUCAUGUAGCGGUGAAAUGCUUAGAUAUGACAUAGAACACCAAUUGCGAAGGCAGCUUACUACGGAUACAUUGACACUGAGGCACGAAAGCGUGGGGAUCAAACAGG